UGGAGCAUGUGGUUUAAUUCGAAGCAACGCGAAGAACCUUACCAGGUCUUGACAUCCCGAUGCUAUUUCUAGAGAUGAAAGUUACUUCGGUACAUCGGUGACAGGUGGUGCAUGGUUGUCGUCAGCUCGUGUCGUGAGAUGUUGGGUUAAGUCCCGCAACGAGCGCAACCCCUAUUGUUAGUUGCCAUCAUUCAGUUGGGCACUCUAGCGAGACUGCCGGUAAUAAACCGGAGGAAGUGGGGAUGACGUCAAAUCAUCAUGCCCCUUAUGACCUGGGCUACACACGUGCUACAAUGGUUGGUACAACGAGUUGCGAGUCGGUGACGGCGAGCUAAUCUCUUAAAGCCAAUCUCAGUUCGGAUUGUAGGCUGCAACUCGCCUACAUGAAGUCGGAAUCGCUAGUAAUCGCGGAUCAGCACGCCGCGGUGAAUACGUUCCCGGGCCUU
RNAcentral lists this ribosomal RNA (446 nucleotides) under uncultured Streptococcus sp. Its description in RNAcentral is "bacterial SSU rRNA". It matches the Rfam family "Bacterial small subunit ribosomal RNA", at positions 933 to 1382 of the family's 1533-position model. Lineage: Bacteria; Bacillati; Bacillota; Bacilli; Lactobacillales; Streptococcaceae. The record is from RNAcentral.